AGGACGAACGCUGGCGGCGUGCUUAACACAUGCAAGUCGAGCGGAAAGGCCCUUCGGGGUACUCGAGCGGCGAACGGGUGAGUAACACGUGGGUAAUCAACCCCUGACAUCGGGAUACCCCGGGGAAACCCGGAUCAAUACCGAAUAAGGUGCGGAGCCGCAGGGCGCCGUACCAAAGGUAGCUUCGGCCUCCGGUCAGGGACGAGCCCGCGGCCCAUUAGCUUGUUGGUGAGGUAACGGCUCACCAAGGCGACGAUGGGUAGCUGGUCUGAGAGGAUGAUCAGCCACACUGGGACUGAGACACGGCCCAGACUCCUACGGGAGGCAGCAGUGGGGAAUCUUGCACAAUGGGCGAAAGCCUGAUGCAGCAACGCCGCGUGCGGGAAGAAGGCCCUCGGGUUGUAAACCGCUUUCAGAAGGAACGAAACUGACGGUACUUUCAGAAGAAGGUGCGGCCAACUACGUGCCAGCAGCCGC
This 477-nucleotide ribosomal RNA is filed under the name uncultured bacterium. Its description in RNAcentral is "SSU rRNA". It matches the Rfam family "Bacterial small subunit ribosomal RNA", at positions 26 to 518 of the family's 1533-position model. The record is from RNAcentral.